Molecule: ribosomal RNA, 497 nt
Filed under: uncultured bacterium
Lineage: Bacteria
Description: partial 16S ribosomal RNA
Rfam family: Bacterial small subunit ribosomal RNA
Source: RNAcentral
GAUGAACGCUGGCGGCGUGCCUAAUACAUGCAAGUCGAGCGAACGGACGAGAAGCUUGCUUCUCUGAUGUUAGCGGCGGACGGGUGAGUAACACGUGGAUAACCUACCUAUAAGACUGGGAUAACUUCGGGAAACCGGAGCUAAUACCGGAUAAUAUUUUGAACCGCAUGGUUUAAAAGUGAAAGACGGUCUUGCUGUCACUUAUAGAUGGAUCCGCGCUGCAGUAGCUAGUUGGUAAGGUAACGGCUUACCAAGGCAACGAUGCAUAGCCGACCUGAGAGGGUGAUCGGCCACACUGGAACUGAGACACGGUCCAGACUCCUACGGGAGGCAGCAGUAGGGAAGCUUCCGCAAUGGGCGAAAGCCUGACGGAGCAACGCCGCGUGAGUGAUGAAGGUCUUCGGAUCGUAAAACUCUGUUAUUAGGGAAGAACAUAUGUGUAAGUAACUGUGCACAUCUUGACGGUACCUAAUCAGAAAGCCACGGCUAACUACGUG